This 452-nucleotide ribosomal RNA is filed under the name uncultured bacterium. Its description in RNAcentral is "bacterial SSU rRNA". It matches the Rfam family "Bacterial small subunit ribosomal RNA", at positions 340 to 786 of the family's 1533-position model. The record is from RNAcentral.
UACGGAAGGCAGCAGUGGGGAAUAUUGCACAAUGGGCGCAAGCCUGAUGCAGCCAUGCCGCGUGUAUGAAAAAGGCCUUCGGGUUGUAAAGUACUUUCAGUCGUGAGGAAGGUGUUAAGGUUAAUAACCUUAGCAGUUGACGUUAGCGACAGAAGAAGCACCGGCUAACUCCGUGCCAGCAGCCGCGGUAAUACGGAGGGUGCGAGCGUUAAUCGGAAUUACUGGGCGUAAAGGGCACGCAGGCGGUUAAUUAAGUUGGAUGUGAAAUCCCCGGGCUUAACCUGGGAAUGGCAUUCAAGACUGGUUAGCUAGAGUCUUGUAGAGGGGGUAGAAUUCCAUGUGUAGCGGUGAAAUGCGUAGAGAUGUGGAGGAAUACCGGUGGCGAAGGCGGCCCCUGGCAAAGACUGACGCUCAUGUGCGAAAGCGUGGGGAGCAAACAGGGAUUAGAUACC